RNAcentral lists this transfer RNA (73 nucleotides) under Pseudomonadota bacterium. Its description in RNAcentral is "tRNA-Lys". It matches the Rfam family "tRNA". From Rfam's summary of the family: Transfer RNA (tRNA) molecules are approximately 80 nucleotides in length. Their secondary structure includes four short double-helical elements and three loops (D, anti-codon, and T loops). Further hydrogen bonds mediate the characteristic L-shaped molecular structure. tRNAs have two regions of fundamental functional importance: the anti-codon, which is responsible for specific mRNA codon recognition, and the 3' end, to which the tRNAs corresponding amino acid is attached (by aminoacyl-tRNA synthetases). tRNAs cope with the degeneracy of the genetic code in two manners: having more than one tRNA (with a specific anti-codon) for a particular amino acid; and 'wobble' base-pairing, i.e. permitting non-standard base-pairing at the 3rd anti-codon position. RNAcentral also lists the same sequence under 2 other names. The record is from RNAcentral. Lineage: Bacteria; Pseudomonadati; Pseudomonadota.
GGGCGAAUAGCUCAAUUGGUAGAGCAGUGGACUCUUAAUCCAUUGGCUCAGGGUUCAAGUCCCUGUUCGCCCA